GUGGGGAAUAUUGGACAAUGGGCGCAAGCCUGAUCCAGCCAUGCCGCGUGUGUGAAGAAGGCCUUCGGGUUGUAAAGCACUUUNGGCCGGGAGGAAGGGGAGNNGGUUAAUACCNNGNGNUANUGACGNUACCNGCAGAAUAAGCACCGGCUAACUCCGUGCCAGCAGCCGCGGUAAUACGGAGGGUGCAAGCGUUAAUCGGAAUUACUGGGCGUAAAGCGCGCGCAGGCGGUUUGNUAAGUCAGAUGUGAAAUCCCCGGGCUCAACCUGGGAACUGCAUUUGAAACUGGCAGGCUAGAGU
RNAcentral lists this ribosomal RNA (301 nucleotides) under gamma proteobacterium SCGC AAA487-L22. Its description in RNAcentral is "partial 16S small subunit ribosomal RNA". It matches the Rfam family "Bacterial small subunit ribosomal RNA", at positions 354 to 647 of the family's 1533-position model. Lineage: Bacteria; Pseudomonadati; Pseudomonadota; Gammaproteobacteria. The record is from RNAcentral.